This 301-nucleotide ribosomal RNA is filed under the name uncultured bacterium. Its description in RNAcentral is "partial 16S ribosomal RNA". It matches the Rfam family "Bacterial small subunit ribosomal RNA", at positions 509 to 807 of the family's 1533-position model. The record is from RNAcentral.
CAGUAGCCACGGGAAUACGGAGGGUGCAAGCGUUAUUCGGAAUUACUGGGCGUAAAGCGCACGCAGACGGUUGCCCAAGUCAGAUGUGAAAGCCCCGGGCUUAACCUGGGAACUGCAUUUGAAACUGGGCGACUAGAGUAUGAAAGAGGAAAGCGGAAUUUCCAGUGUAGCAGUGAAAUGCGUAGAUAUUGGAAGGAACACCGAUGGCGAAGGCAGCUUUCUGGGUCGAUACUGGCGCUCAUGUGCGAAAGCGUGGGGAGCAAACAGGAUUAGAUACCCCCGUAGUCCCUGUCUCUUAUAC